This 817-nucleotide long non-coding RNA is filed under the name Cyanistes caeruleus (blue tit). Its description in RNAcentral is "lncRNA (ENSCCEG00000015740.1)". Lineage: Eukaryota; Metazoa; Chordata; Aves; Passeriformes; Paridae. The record is from RNAcentral.
GAAAGACAUUUCCAUAUUUUGUAAUUGACAUUUUCUGUGCCAUUUUCUUCUUUCUAGGGGUCAGAUGGUGACUCCUAGCCUAUCCCCUCCUACCUACCCCAGUGACUCUGUGGCAUCAGGUGAUCUCUCCUGGUUCCUCACCCCAUGUUCUCCACUGAUCAGACCCAUUGGUGAUUAGAUGCUCAGCAGAAGUGAUUUUGCAGCCUUUGACACCUUGCAUCCCCUGCUGCCUGGAUUUCAAAGAGAGCUUGAAGUAUCUUGAUUCUUCUGCGAGGGAAAAAAGGACACAUGCACUGAAACCAUAAUGAUUUUACCAGACGUUCACAGUACUUUCACCUGAAAUGGUAUCAGAUAGUGCCUCUGUAUCACAUCUCUAAUACCUUUUGAAAUGAAAUCUUCGGCUCCUAUUCAGAGAUCCCCCUUUUGUUCACUCAAAGCCAAGGGGACAGUCAGUGAGCUGGGGAGGUGGUUCAGGUCAGUACUGUCCCUUUUAACUCCUUGUGCACCACAGCAGCGAGCGUGGGGCGCCUCUGCCGGACAGGGAUUCCCAAAGGACCUGGGUGCAGACAGUGAGGCUGUUCCCAGUGCUAGCUGUGAACAACUGAACACAGAGAGAUAGAAAAACAACUUCUGGAUUACCUCAAGUGCGCUGGCAACAUAAGUAGCAACAGACUUCCAGAUGAAGAAGCCUAUGUGGAACAUGUAAAAUGGUAAGCAAAACUUGUGUGCUGAGUCUUAUGAAAAGUGUAAGAAAAGGAAAUUCUGCAGCUUGGGUUCCAACAUUCAUGUUUACUUUUAAAUCUAAAUGUGACCAGAC